AUUGAACGCUGGCGGCAGGCUUAACACAUGCAAGUCGAGCGGGGAAAGGUAGCUUGCUACCGGACCUAGCGGCGGACGGGUGAGUAAUGCUUAGGAAUCUGCCUAUUAGUGGGGGACAACAUCUCGAAAGGGAUGCUAAUACCGCAUACGUCCUACGGGAGAAAGCAGGGGAUCUUCGGACCUUGCGCUAACAGAUGAGCCUAAGUCGGAUUAGCUAGUUGGUGGGGUAAAGGCCUACCAAGGCGACGAUCUGUAGCGGGUCUGAGAGGAUGAUCCGCCACACUGGGACUGAGACACGGCCCAGACUCCUACGGGAGGCAGCAGUGGGGAAUAUUGGACAAUGGGGGGAACCCUGAUCCAGCCAUGCCGCGUGUGUGAAGAAGGCCUUAUGGUUGUAAAGCACUUUAAGCGAGGAGGAGGCUACUUUAGUUAAUACCUAGAGAUAGUGGACGUUACUCGCAGAAUAAGCACCGGCUAACUCUGUGCCAGCAGCCGCAGUAA
This 501-nucleotide ribosomal RNA is filed under the name uncultured bacterium. RNAcentral's name for it is "partial 16S ribosomal RNA". It matches the Rfam family "Bacterial small subunit ribosomal RNA", at positions 30 to 523 of the family's 1533-position model. The record is from RNAcentral.